UGAAUACUCCCUCCGUCUCAAAAAUUUUGUCUUAGAUUUCUCUAUAUAUGAAUGUAUCUAGUCACGUUUUAGUUCUUUGAUACAUCCAUUUUUAGACAAACGUAAGGCAAGAAUUUUGAAACGAGGUGAGUACUUG
Molecule: non-coding RNA, 136 nt
Organism: Hordeum vulgare subsp. vulgare (domesticated barley)
Lineage: Eukaryota; Viridiplantae; Streptophyta; Magnoliopsida; Poales; Poaceae
Source: Rfam